Molecule: non-coding RNA, 75 nt
Organism: Podarcis lilfordi (Lilford's wall lizard)
Lineage: Eukaryota; Metazoa; Chordata; Lepidosauria; Squamata; Lacertidae
Source: the annotation of a GenBank genome assembly
UCAGUUGGCUCAGUGGGUAGAGCAUGAGACUCUUAAUCUCAGGAUCAUGGGUUCGUGCCCCAUGGUGGGGAAAAA